RNAcentral lists this ribosomal RNA (710 nucleotides) under uncultured Bacteroidota bacterium. RNAcentral describes it as "bacterial SSU rRNA". It matches the Rfam family "Bacterial small subunit ribosomal RNA", at positions 60 to 771 of the family's 1533-position model. The record is from RNAcentral. Lineage: Bacteria; Pseudomonadati; Bacteroidota.
AGUCGAGGGGUAUUUAUCUUCGGAUAGAGAGACCGGCGCACGGGUGCGUAACGCGUAUGCAAUCUACCUUUUACAGAGGGAUAGCCCAGAGAAAUUUGGAUUAAUACCUCAUAGUAUGUGAGAAUGGCAUCAUUUUCACAUUAAAGUCACAACGGUAAAAGAUGAGCAUGCGUCCCAUUAGCUAGUUGGUAAGGUAACGGCUUACCAAGGCUACGAUGGGUAGGGGUCCUGAGAGGGAGAUCCCCCACACUGGUACUGAGACACGGACCAGACUCCUACGGGAGGCAGCAGUGAGGAAUAUUGGACAAUGGGCGCAAGCCUGAUCCAGCCAUGCCGCGUGCAGGAUGACGGUCCUAUGGAUUGUAAACUGCUUUUGCACAGGAAGAAACAACGCUACGUGUAGCGUCUUGACGGUACUGUGAGAAUAAGGAUCGGCUAACUCCGUGCCAGCAGCCGCGGUAAUACGGAGGAUCCAAGCGUUAUCCGGAAUCAUUGGGUUUAAAGGGUCCGUAGGCGGUUUAGUAAGUCAGUGGUGAAAGCCCAUCGCUCAACGGUGGAACGGCCAUUGAUACUGCUAGACUUGAAUUAUUAGGAAGUAACUAGAAUAUGUAGUGUAGCGGUGAAAUGCUUAGAGAUUACAUGGAAUACCAAUUGCGAAGGCAGGUUACUACUAAUGGAUUGACGCUGAUGGACGAAAGCGUGGGUAGCGA